This 297-nucleotide unclassified non-coding RNA is filed under the name plant metagenome. RNAcentral's name for it is "partial contains small subunit ribosomal RNA, internal transcribed spacer 1, and 5.8S ribosomal RNA". The record is from RNAcentral.
UUUCCGUAGGUGAACCUGCGGAAGGAUCAUUAUUGAAUGAACUUGGUGUGGUUGUUGCUGGCCCUCUUGGGGGCAUGUGCACACCCACCAUCCUCAUCUCUCCACCUGUGCACCUCUUGUAGACCUGGGAUAGAUUUUCCGAGGCAACUCGGUCUGGAGGAAUGCUGCCCUAAGCUUUCUUUGUAUUUCCUGGUCUAUGUUUUUCAUAUACCCGAUAGCAUGUAACAGAAUGUAUCAUUUGGGCGCUUGUGCCCUAUAAACCUUAUACAACUUUCAGCAACGGAUCUCUUGGCUCUC